GGGGAUUUAGCUCAGUGGUAGAGCGCUUGCCUAGGAAGCGUAAGGCCCUGGGUUCGGUCCCCAGCUCCU
RNAcentral lists this transfer RNA (69 nucleotides) under Rattus norvegicus (Norway rat). It matches the Rfam family "tRNA". From Rfam's summary of the family: Transfer RNA (tRNA) molecules are approximately 80 nucleotides in length. Their secondary structure includes four short double-helical elements and three loops (D, anti-codon, and T loops). Further hydrogen bonds mediate the characteristic L-shaped molecular structure. tRNAs have two regions of fundamental functional importance: the anti-codon, which is responsible for specific mRNA codon recognition, and the 3' end, to which the tRNAs corresponding amino acid is attached (by aminoacyl-tRNA synthetases). tRNAs cope with the degeneracy of the genetic code in two manners: having more than one tRNA (with a specific anti-codon) for a particular amino acid; and 'wobble' base-pairing, i.e. permitting non-standard base-pairing at the 3rd anti-codon position. Lineage: Eukaryota; Metazoa; Chordata; Mammalia; Rodentia; Muridae. The record is from Rfam by way of RNAcentral.